AGGCUAUUAAGUUAAAUAGACUAUUUGUUUUCAAAACAAAAUGUAACGAUAUUUGUUAUAGUCUG
Molecule: transfer RNA, 65 nt
Filed under: Heterobothrium okamotoi
Lineage: Eukaryota; Metazoa; Platyhelminthes; Monogenea; Mazocraeidea; Diclidophoridae
Description: tRNA-Trp
Source: RNAcentral